Molecule: ribosomal RNA, 648 nt
Filed under: uncultured Xanthobacter sp.
Lineage: Bacteria; Pseudomonadati; Pseudomonadota; Alphaproteobacteria; Hyphomicrobiales; Xanthobacteraceae
Description: bacterial SSU rRNA
Rfam family: Bacterial small subunit ribosomal RNA
Source: RNAcentral
AGUCGAGCGCCCAGCAAUGGGAGCGGCAGACGGGUGAGUAACGCGUGGGGAUCUACCCAUUGGUACGGAAUAACCCAGGGAAACUUGGACUAAUACCGUAUGUGCCCUUCGGGGGAAAGAUUUAUCGCCAAUGGAUGAACCCGCGUCGGAUUAGCUAGUUGGUGAGGUAAAGGCUCACCAAGGCGACGAUCCGUAGCUGGUCUGAGAGGAUGAUCAGCCACACUGGGACUGAGACACGGCCCAGACUCCUACGGGAGGCAGCAGUGGGGAAUAUUGGACAAUGGGCGCAAGCCUGAUCCAGCCAUGCCGCGUGAGUGAUGAAGGCCUUAGGGUUGUAAAGCUCUUUCGCCGGUGAAGAUAAUGACGGUAACCGGAGAAGAAGCCCCGGCUAACUUCGUGCCAGCAGCCGCGGUAAUACGAAGGGGGCUAGCGUUGCUCGGAAUCACUGGGCGUAAAGCGCACGUAGGCGGAUCGUUAAGUCAGGGGUGAAAUCCUGGGGCUCAACCUCAGAACUGCCCUUGAUACUGGCGAUCUCGAGUUCGAGAGAGGUUGGUGGAACUCCGAGUGUAGAGGUGAAAUUCGUAGAUAUUCGGAAGAACACCAGUGGCGAAGGCGGCCAACUGGCUCGAUACUGACGCUGAGGUGCGA